UGCGCCACAGCCUGCUGGGCGGGACCAUGUGUGGCGUUGAUGCUAACGAGUUAAUAUGGCCACCGCUGCUUUUCUGAAAUUGAAUGUUCCCAGGGUGAGUGACAGCCUCCCGCCUCUCCAGGAGGCUCACAAGGACCAGCAGGCCUCACAGAGUAAGUGGGAACAAGAUGGAAGAACAAUAUUUGGGGAAAUAAAGCAUCUAGAGUGAC
RNAcentral lists this long non-coding RNA (209 nucleotides) under Capra hircus (goat). RNAcentral describes it as "lncRNA (ENSCHIG00000007004.1)". Lineage: Eukaryota; Metazoa; Chordata; Mammalia; Artiodactyla; Bovidae. The record is from RNAcentral.